GCCCGAGUGGCGGAACUGGUAGACGCAUGCGACUCAAAAUCGUAUGUCCAUAGGACGUGGGGGUUCGAGUCCCCCCUCGGGUA
This 83-nucleotide transfer RNA is filed under the name Bacteroidota bacterium. RNAcentral describes it as "Bacteroidetes bacterium tRNA-Leu". It matches the Rfam family "tRNA". From Rfam's summary of the family: Transfer RNA (tRNA) molecules are approximately 80 nucleotides in length. Their secondary structure includes four short double-helical elements and three loops (D, anti-codon, and T loops). Lineage: Bacteria; Pseudomonadati; Bacteroidota. RNAcentral also lists the same sequence under 1 other name. The record is from RNAcentral.